CAGCUCUGCAGUGAUGAUGAAAUACUGAAAGCUCGCGCUCGACUUAAAAGUGAAGACAAACAAAGUGAACAGGAUGCACUGAAUCUUUCUCUGGUGUCGGUCCAUGCUGAUUCUGGUGCUAGUUCUUC
Sphaeramia orbicularis (orbiculate cardinalfish) is the source of this 128-nucleotide long non-coding RNA. RefSeq lists it as uncharacterized. NCBI's taxonomy places the organism in Eukaryota, Metazoa, Chordata, Actinopteri, Kurtiformes, Apogonidae. The transcript is spliced from 5 exons. The record is from RefSeq and is a predicted model, not a curated record.